This is a long non-coding RNA of Populus euphratica (Euphrates poplar), 216 nucleotides long. RefSeq lists it as uncharacterized. NCBI's taxonomy places the organism in Eukaryota, Viridiplantae, Streptophyta, Magnoliopsida, Malpighiales, Salicaceae. The transcript is spliced from 2 exons. The record is from RefSeq and is a predicted model, not a curated record.
UUCAGAGGAAAUAAUGAAGCUAGAGACAUGAAGGCAGAGCUGCAAGGUAAGUAUGAAGUUGUAUGUUUGUGAGUGGAUGCAGCAUAGCAGGACUACUCGUUCUCAAGUUGGAGGGCACAAAUAAUAUACAUGUCUCUCCCUCUCUCUCUCUCUCUCUGCUGUUGAAUUCAGUAAUAGUGUUGAAUAUGUUGGGAAAAAGUACAAGAUUUUUACCUU